AGAGUUUGAUCCUGGCUCAGAGCGAACGCUGGCGGCAUGCUUAACACAUGCAAGUCGCACGGGCAGGGGCAACUCUGUCAGUGGCGGACGGGUGAGUAACGCGUAGGUAUCUAUCCUUGGGUGGGGGACAACUGUGGGAAACUACAGCUAAUACCGCAUGAUGACCGAGGUCCAAAGCUCGCGAGAGCGCCUGGGGAGGAGCCUGCGUACGAUUAGCUAGUUGGUGGGGUAAAGGCCUACCAAGGCGACGAUCGUUAGCUGGUCUGAGAGGAUGAUCAGCCACAUUGGGACUGAGACACGGCCCAAACUCCUACGGGAGGCAGCAGUGGGGAAUAUUGGACAAUGGGCGCAAGCCUGAUCCAGCAAUGCCGCGUGUGUGAAGAAGGUCUUCGGAUUGUAAAGCACUUUCGACGGGGACGAUGAUGACGGUACCCGUAGAAGAAGCCCCGGCUAACUUCGUGCCAGCAGCCGCGGUAAUACGAAGGGGGCUAGCGUUGCUCGGAAUGACUGGGCGUAAAGGGCGCGUAGGCGGAUGGCACAGUCAGAUGUGAAAUUCCCGGGCUUAACCUGGGGGGCUGCAUUUGAUACGUGUUGUCUAGAGUGAGGAAGAGGGUCGUGGAAUUCCCAGUGUAGAGGUGAAAUUCGUAGAUAUUGGGAAGAACACCGGUGGCGAAGGCGGCGACCUGGUCCUUGACUGACGCUGAGGCGCGAAAGCGUGGGGAGCAAACAGGAUUAGAUACCCUAGUAGUCC
Molecule: ribosomal RNA, 751 nt
Filed under: uncultured bacterium
Lineage: Bacteria
Description: bacterial SSU rRNA
Rfam family: Bacterial small subunit ribosomal RNA
Source: RNAcentral